GGAGGAGCAGAGCAGCUGCAGGAGCAGCCUGGACAUUUAAGUUAUAUGUUUGUGCGUUAAUGCAGAAAAGAAACCACACACACAUACAUACACACACACACGAAGAUACGUAGAUUGAUCCUCAUAACACGGAACCACGAAUGAGACACGAGACACAAGAUAUGCCAAUCUCCUUUGUUCAAAGUGGCCUCUGUAAAUCUACGUGUCUGUCACAGAAUAAAACCCUUGAGCUGUGAA
Non-coding RNA from Labrus bergylta (ballan wrasse), 237 nucleotides. NCBI's taxonomy places the organism in Eukaryota, Metazoa, Chordata, Actinopteri, Labriformes, Labridae. The record is from RefSeq and is a predicted model, not a curated record.